Molecule: ribosomal RNA, 254 nt
Filed under: uncultured bacterium
Lineage: Bacteria
Description: partial 16S ribosomal RNA
Rfam family: Bacterial small subunit ribosomal RNA
Source: RNAcentral
GACAGAGGGUGCAAACGUUGUUCGGAAUUACUGGGCGUAAAGCGCGUGUAGGCUGUUCGGAAAGUCGGGUGUGAAAGCCCCGGGCUCAACCCGGGAAGUGCACUCGAAACUCCCGAACUGGAGUCCUGGAGAGGAAGGCGGAAUUCUCGGUGUAGAGGUGAAAUUCGUAGAUAUCGAGAGGAACAUCGGUGGCGAAGGCGGCCUUCUGGGACAGUGACUGACGCUGAGACGCGAAAGCGUGGGGAGCAAACAGG